AUUGAACGCUAGUGGGAUGCUUUACACAUGCAAGUCGAACGGCAGCGCGGACUUCGGUCUGGCGGCGAGUGGCGAACGGGUGAGUAAUGUAUCGGAACGUGCCCAGUAGCGGGGGAUAACUACGCGAAAGCGUAGCUAAUACCGAAUACGCCCUACGGGGGAAAGCAGGGGAUCGUAAGACCUUCCACUAUUGGAGCGGCCGAUAUCGGAUUAGCUAGUUGGUGAGGUAACGGCUCACCAAGGCGACGAUCCGUAGCUGGUUUGAGAGGACGACCAGCCACACUGGGACUGAGACACGGCCCAGACUCCUACGGGAGGCAGCAGUGGGGAAUUUUGGACAAUGGGGGCAACCCUGAUCCAGCCAUCCCGCGUGUGCGAUGAAGGCCUUCGGGUUGUAAAGCACUUUUGGCAGGAAAGAAACGUCGCGGGCUAAUACCCCGUGGAACUGACGGUACCUGCAGAAUAAGCACCGGCUAACUACGUG
Molecule: ribosomal RNA, 484 nt
Filed under: uncultured bacterium
Lineage: Bacteria
Description: partial 16S ribosomal RNA
Rfam family: Bacterial small subunit ribosomal RNA
Source: RNAcentral